AUACGGAGGGUGCAAGCGUUGUUCGGAAUUAUUGGGCGUAAAGCGCGUGUAGGCGGUUUCUUAAGUCUGAUGUGAAAGCCCCGGGCUCAACCUGGGAAGUGCAUUGGAAACUGGGGGACUUGAGUACGGGAGAGGGUAGUGGAAUUCCUAGUGUAGGAGUGAAAUCCGUAGAUAUCGGGAAGAACACCGGUGGCGAAGGCGGCUCUCUGGACCGUGAUUGACGCUGAGACGCGAAAGCGUGGGGAGC
RNAcentral lists this ribosomal RNA (247 nucleotides) under uncultured bacterium. Its description in RNAcentral is "partial 16S ribosomal RNA". It matches the Rfam family "Bacterial small subunit ribosomal RNA", at positions 523 to 769 of the family's 1533-position model. The record is from RNAcentral.